Molecule: ribosomal RNA, 789 nt
Filed under: Salmonella enterica subsp. enterica serovar Derby
Lineage: Bacteria; Pseudomonadati; Pseudomonadota; Gammaproteobacteria; Enterobacterales; Enterobacteriaceae
Description: partial 23S ribosomal RNA
Rfam family: Bacterial large subunit ribosomal RNA
Source: RNAcentral
UGCUAAUCUGCGAUAAGCGCCGGUAAGGUGAUAUGAACCGUUAUAACCGGCGAUACCCGAAUGGGGAAACCCAGUGUGAUUCGUCACACUAUCAUUAACUGAAUCCAUAGGUUAAUGAGGCGAACCGGGGGAACUGAAACAUCUAAGUACCCCGAGGAAAAGAAAUCAACCGAGAUUCCCCCAGUAGCGGCGAGCGAACGGGGAGGAGCCCAGAGCCUGAAUCAGCAUGUGUGUUAGUGGAAGCGUCUGGAAAGGCGCGCGAUACAGGGUGACAGCCCCGUACACAAAAGCGCAUGUGCUGUGAGCUCGAUGAGUAGGGCGGGACACGUGGUAUCCUGUCUGAAUAUGGGGGGACCAUCCUCCAAGGCUAAAUACUCCUGACUGACCGAUAGUGAACCAGUACCGUGAGGGAAAGGCGAAAAGAACCCCGGCGAGGGGAGUGAAAAAGAACCUGAAACCGUGUACGUACAAGCAGUGGGAGCACAGGUUUACCUGUGUGACUGCGUACCUUUUGUAUAAUGGGUCAGCGACUUAUAUUCUGUAGCAAGGUUAACCGAAUAGGGGAGCCGGAGGGAAACCGAGUCUUAAUUGGGCGUUAAGUUGCAGGGUAUAGACCCGAAACCCGGUGAUCUAGCCAUGGGCAGGUUGAAGGUUGGGUAACACUAACUGGAGGACCGAACCGACUAAUGUUGAAAAAUUAGCGGAUGACCUGUGGCUGGGGGUGAAAGGCCAAUCAAACCGGGAGAUAGCUGGUUCUCCCCGAAAGCUAUUUAGGUAGCGCCUCGUGAA